This 496-nucleotide ribosomal RNA is filed under the name uncultured bacterium. RNAcentral describes it as "partial 16S ribosomal RNA". It matches the Rfam family "Bacterial small subunit ribosomal RNA", at positions 29 to 507 of the family's 1533-position model. The record is from RNAcentral.
AUGAACGCUGGCGGCGUGCCUAAUACAUGCAAGUCGAGCGAACAGACGAGGAGCUUGCUCCUCUGACGUUAGCGGCGGACGGGUGAGUAACACGUGGAUAACCUACCUAUAAGACUGGGAUCACUUCGGGAAACCGGAGCUAAUACCGGAUAAUAUAUUGAACCGCAUGGUUCAAUAGUGAAAGACGGUUUUGCUGUCACUUAUAGCUCGAUCCGCGCCGCCUUAGCUAGUUGGUAAGGUAACGGCUUACCAAGGCAACGAUGCGUAGCCGACCUGAGAGGGUGAUCGGCCACACUGGAACUGAGACACGGUCCAGACUCCUACGGGAGGCAGCAGUAGGGAAUCUUCCGCAAUGGGCGAAAGCUUGACGGAGCAACGCCGCGUGAGUGAUGAAGGUCUUCGGAUCGUAAAACUCUGUUAUUAGGGAAGAACAAAUGUGUAAGUACCUAUGCACGUCUUGACGGUACCUAAUCAGAAAGCCACGGCUAACUACGUG